UUCCUGGUGUCUAUGACGCAGUGGAACCACUCCGAUCCAUCUCGAACUCGGAAGUGAAACGCUGCAGUGGUGAAGAUACUCGGUGGGUAGCUGCCCGGUAAAAUAGCACGAUGCCAGGUU
This 120-nucleotide ribosomal RNA is filed under the name Trichodesmium erythraeum. Lineage: Bacteria; Bacillati; Cyanobacteriota; Cyanophyceae; Oscillatoriales; Microcoleaceae. The record is from RNAcentral.